CAGUAGCCGCGGGAAUACGUAGGGGGCAAGCGUUAUCCGGAAUUACUGGGUGUAAAGGGAGCGUAGACGGUUAAACAAGUCUGAAGUGAAAUGCCGGGGCUCAACCCCGGAGCUGCUUUGGGAACUGUAGAACUGGAGUGUCGGAGGGGUAAGCGGAAUUCCCAGUGUAGCGGUGAAAUGCGUUGAGAUCGGAAAGAACACCAACGGCGAAAGCACUCUGCUGGGCCGACACUGACACUGAGAGACGAAAGCUAGGGGAGCAAAUGGGAUUAGAGACCCCCGUAGUCCCUGUCUCUUAUAC
This 301-nucleotide ribosomal RNA is filed under the name uncultured bacterium. RNAcentral's name for it is "partial 16S ribosomal RNA". It matches the Rfam family "Bacterial small subunit ribosomal RNA", at positions 509 to 807 of the family's 1533-position model. The record is from RNAcentral.